GGGGGGGUAGCUCAGCGGACAGAGCGUCAGCGAAUUUGCAUUUGGUCUUUCUCCUAAGCGAAACGUACCUAAAAUGCCGGUUCCUAAGGUCCUGGGUUCGAAUCCUAGUCCUCCUA
Molecule: transfer RNA, 116 nt
Rfam family: tRNA
About the family: Transfer RNA (tRNA) molecules are approximately 80 nucleotides in length. Their secondary structure includes four short double-helical elements and three loops (D, anti-codon, and T loops). Further hydrogen bonds mediate the characteristic L-shaped molecular structure. tRNAs have two regions of fundamental functional importance: the anti-codon, which is responsible for specific mRNA codon recognition, and the 3' end, to which the tRNAs corresponding amino acid is attached (by aminoacyl-tRNA synthetases). tRNAs cope with the degeneracy of the genetic code in two manners: having more than one tRNA (with a specific anti-codon) for a particular amino acid; and 'wobble' base-pairing, i.e. permitting non-standard base-pairing at the 3rd anti-codon position.